This 468-nucleotide ribosomal RNA is filed under the name uncultured bacterium. RNAcentral's name for it is "partial 16S ribosomal RNA". It matches the Rfam family "Bacterial small subunit ribosomal RNA", at positions 28 to 507 of the family's 1533-position model. The record is from RNAcentral.
GACGAACGCUGGCGGCGUGCUUAACACAUGCAAGUCGAACGGAAAGGCCCUGCUUUUGUGGGGCGCUCGAGUGGCGAACGGGUGAGUAACACGUGAGUAACCUGCCCUUAACUUUGGGAUAACUUCAGGAAACUGGGGCUAAUACCGGAUAUGAGCUCCUGCUGCAUGGUGGGGGUUGGAAAGUUUCGGCGGUUGGGGAUGGACUCGCGGCUUAUCAGCUUGUUGGUGGGGUAGUGGCUUACCAAGGCUUUGACGGGUAGCCGGCCUGAGAGGGUGACCGGCCACAUUGGGACUGAGAUACGGACCAGACUGCUACGGGAGGCAGCAGUGGGGAAUAUUGCACAAUGGGCGGAAGCCUGAUGCAGCAACGCCGCGUGCGGGAUGACGGCCUUCGGGUUGUAAACCGCUUUCGCCUGUGACGAAGAGUGAGUGACGGUAAUGGGUAAAGAAGCACCGGCUAACUACGUG